This 807-nucleotide long non-coding RNA is filed under the name Homo sapiens (human). RNAcentral's name for it is "PREDICTED lncRNA (TCONS_00255704)". Lineage: Eukaryota; Metazoa; Chordata; Mammalia; Primates; Hominidae. The record is from RNAcentral.
CAGCUUAUGAUCUCCUGAUUGGAACUAACAUGACGCUUGAUAAAAUGAAGUACAUAACAUAACAACUGCAUUGAUUUAGAAAUACGAGGACUUGUUUUGGAUUCCAAGUCUAACUGCAGAUCUGGGGACAGCACACACUUUACACCUUGGAUUCUGGGAUACAUUUGAUUUCAAAUAUUGAUGGUGAAAAUUCUAACAAGGAGCAAACAGCAAAGAACUGAAAUGCUAUACAGACUCCAGUGAGAAAAAACUGAGGUAAUUGGUUUCGGUGUGCUGGUGCUUGAAACUCUAUCCCAGUGCUUCCUUCAACUAAGGCUGCAAAUUGAAAAUGUGAAGAACCUUGCCUGCUUGAACCAGCCUGGGCUUGUGGCAGCAUCAUUCUGUCACUUAAUUCUUCUCACAGAGGUAAUGCCUAUUAAGUGACUUAGCAAGGGCGUGCAUGAUGUAGUCACGAGAUGGAUAUUGGUAACAGUGAUUCCUUGCUGGUACUUUCUAUUAAGUCUAGGUUUCUUGUCACUCAUUGAUCGACCGCACAAAAUCUCACCUGCUAAAUAAUUUGCCCAGGCUUCCACAUCAUUGUACCUGUAUUGAUGAUCCCCAGUGCACAAGAUUACCACGUGAAUGGCAAUGAAAUUUGUGGCGCUGAUACUCAGGGUCUCCACCAGCGAUGUAUAUCACUAUUAAUUUCACUUUGUAUUUCAGAAAGCCGAACCUUUUAAAAUGGAGCUUAUUGCACCAAAAAUAGUUGGAAAUAGAGUAAAACCAAAGAGAAAACCUUAACAACUAUAUAUUUUUAUUUGUUUUAGC